AGUGAACGCUGGCGGUAGGCCUAACACAUGCCAGUCGAACGGCCGCUCCGUGAUAGCUUGCUCUUACGGGUGGCGAGUGGCGGACGGGUGCGUUAUACAUCGGAUUCUACUUUUUCGUUUGGGCUAACGUCGGGUAUGUUCCGCUAAUACCGCAUACGACCUCCUUAUGACAGCCGGCGUCCUUCUGACCUUGUGCUUUUGAUUGAGGCGGUGUCGGGUUAGCUAGUUGGCGGGGUCAGGGCUCACCAAGGCGACGAUCCGUAGCUCGUCUGAGAGGAUGGACAACUAGACUGGAAGUGAGGAAGGGUCGCGACAUCUACGGGGAGCAGCAGUGGGGAAUACUGCGCGAUGGGCGAGAGGCUGAUCCAGCCAUAUCGCGUGAGGGAAGAAGGACUUCUGGUGGGAAAACCCUGUUGGUGGGAAAGAAGAGCAGCAGUUUAACCCCCCGCUGUUCUGACGGUACCCAAAGAAUAAGCACCGGCUAACUUCGUG
RNAcentral lists this ribosomal RNA (492 nucleotides) under uncultured bacterium. RNAcentral describes it as "partial 16S ribosomal RNA". It matches the Rfam family "Bacterial small subunit ribosomal RNA", at positions 29 to 507 of the family's 1533-position model. The record is from RNAcentral.